CAAGAAAUGUAGGUAUUAGCUAAAAAUAUUAUGGUCUUCUUUUUUCCUGUAGACAACUUUUAAUUUAACCAAAAAUACGCAGGAAAACCGGAGAAAUUGUUACAACAUUAUAUAGAGUUUAUUUAAUUAUUUUACCUUAAUAUGGCAUAUAUAUUGUUGACAAAGCAGAAUCGUUUUAUCGUAAGCAAUAGUUUUUCGUUGCUUAUAAGUAUAUAUUAGAUUACC
Molecule: non-coding RNA, 225 nt
Organism: Cinara cedri
Lineage: Eukaryota; Metazoa; Arthropoda; Insecta; Hemiptera; Aphididae
Source: the annotation of a GenBank genome assembly